UACUACGUGAUAGAUAAGCCAAUUGCAAGCUUGGUCAGGUAUAUAAGUGAACCCACAUCUCCAUCUCUUCCUCUGUCUAUAGCUAGUGAUCAGAUACUGGGAACUAAGGGACUACCAUUGUGUCGCAGAAUAUAAGAAUGAAGACCUUUAUCGUCCUUGCUGCCGUUGCUGUUGUGUGCAGUGCAAAAUACAUCGUGGACGUGCAAAGUGGACAGUUGCCAUGUAAACCAUGUAACCAUGACGACAUUCCUCUUGGACAGUUUAAAUUGUUGAACCCAGUAUGUGGACCAUGCGGAGAAAUGUAUGGACCGUCUUUUGAAUUUUGCUGCAUGUGUGACAGAAAGAUCAGACGCGCAUGCGAAGAAGCUAUUCGGAAAUAGGAAUUCAAGACUACAGCAUUGAAGGAAAUUAUGGAUUUUGGUAUGAGUAGAGACAUGUAUGGCAAUGGCUCUUGUCUUGCAGACAUUCUGAAGUGAUUGUGUUUGAUCUCAAAUACAGUUAACAAUAAAAUGCCUUUCAAUUA
Ostrea edulis (European flat oyster) is the source of this 523-nucleotide long non-coding RNA. RefSeq lists it as uncharacterized. The transcript has 2 exons. Lineage: Eukaryota; Metazoa; Mollusca; Bivalvia; Ostreida; Ostreidae. The record is from RefSeq and is a predicted model, not a curated record.